Molecule: ribosomal RNA, 161 nt
Filed under: uncultured bacterium
Lineage: Bacteria
Description: partial 16S ribosomal RNA
Rfam family: Bacterial small subunit ribosomal RNA
Source: RNAcentral
UGGGNACUCGGGCGAAAGCCUGUAUCCAGCCUGCCGCGUGUGUGAACAAGGUCUUCGGAUUGUAAAGCACUUUAAGUUGGGAGGAAGGGCAGUUACCUAAUACGUGAUUGUUUUGACGUUACCGACAGAAUAAGCACCGGCUAACCUCUGUGCCAGCAGCG